RNAcentral lists this non-coding RNA (427 nucleotides) under Smithella sp. ME-1. Its description in RNAcentral is "LSU rRNA". It matches the Rfam family "Bacterial large subunit ribosomal RNA", at positions 75 to 505 of the family's 2925-position model. Lineage: Bacteria; Pseudomonadati; Thermodesulfobacteriota; Syntrophia; Syntrophales; Smithellaceae. The record is from RNAcentral.
GCCUCGGGGAGCUGUGAACAAGCGCCGAUCCGGGGAUGUCCGAAUGGGGAAACCCACUGGAGCGAACCUCCAGUAUCGUAUGAUGAAUCAAUAGUUAUACGAGGGGAACCUGGGGAACUGAAACAUCUAAGUACCCAGAGGAAAAGAAACAAUUCCCAAAGUAGUGGCGAGCGAAAUGGGAAAAGCCCAAACCAGUGCAGCGAGCUGUAUUGGGGUUGUAGGGCCAGCAAUAUGGAGUUACAAAACUUGAAGUUAGUGGAAUGGUGUGGGAAAGCCAGCCAGAGAGGGUGAGAGCCCCGUACGCGAAAACUGAGAGACUCCAGCUGGUACCCUGAGUACUGCCGGGCACGCUAAUCCGGCAGGAAGCUGGGGAGUCCACUCUCCAAGGCUAAAUACAUUUGGCGACCGAUAGUGAACAAGUACCGUG